RNAcentral lists this non-coding RNA (92 nucleotides) under Neobacillus bataviensis. Its description in RNAcentral is "Bacillus bataviensis c-di-GMP sequence". It matches the Rfam family "c-di-GMP-I riboswitch aptamer". From Rfam's summary of the family: GEMM was predicted in a large-scale screen for bacterial structured RNA regulatory elements. Genes associated with GEMM are involved in a diverse array of functions, including chemotaxis regulation, signal transduction, secretion and chitin. The record is from RNAcentral. Lineage: Bacteria; Bacillati; Bacillota; Bacilli; Caryophanales; Bacillaceae. RNAcentral also lists the same sequence under 1 other name.
GACAGAAAAAGGCAAACCUGUUGAAAAGUAGGGACGCAAAGCCGAGGAUCUAAGGCAAGUUUCUAGCUUGCUAUGGUGGCCGGGCUGCCUGG